GGUGAAGAACGUAGCGAAAUGCGAUAAGUAAUGUGAAUUGCAGAAUUCAGUGAAUCAUCGAAUCUUUGAACGCACAUUGCGCCCGCCAGUAUUCUGGCGGGCAUGCCUGUUCGAGCGUCAUUUCAACCAUCAAGCCCCCGGCUUGUGUUGGGGACCUGCGGCUGCCGCAGGCCCUGAAAAGCAGUGGCGGGCUCGCUGUCACACCGAGCGUAGUAGCAUACAUCUCGCUCUGGGCGUGCUGCGGGUUCCGGCCGUUAAACCACCUUCAUAACCCAAGGUUGACCUCGGAUCAGGUAGGAAGACCCGCUGAACUUAAGCAUAUCAAUAAGCGGAGGA
This 336-nucleotide unclassified non-coding RNA is filed under the name soil metagenome. Its description in RNAcentral is "partial contains 5.8S ribosomal RNA, internal transcribed spacer 2, and large subunit ribosomal RNA". The stretch from base 3 to 120 matches the Rfam family "5.8S ribosomal RNA", at positions 37 to 154 of the family's 154-position model. The record is from RNAcentral.